GACGAACGCUGGCGGCGUGCUUAACACAUGCAAGUCGAACGGAAAGGCCCUGCUUUUGUGGGGUGCUCGCGUGGCGAACGGGUGAGUAACCCGUGAGUAACCUGCCUUUGACCUUGGGAUAACUUCAGGAAACUGGGGAUAAUACCGGAUAGGAGCUCCUGCUGCAUGGAGGGGGUUGGAAAGUUUCGGCGGCUGGGGAUGGACUCGCGGCUUAUCAGCUUGUUGGUGGGGUAGUGGCUUACCAUGGGUUUGACGGGUAGCCGGCCUGAGAGGGUGACCGGCCACAUUGGGACUGAGAUACGGCCCAGACUCCUACGGGAGGCAGCAGUGGGGAAUAUUGCACAAUGGGCGGAAGCGUGAUGCAGCAGCGCCGCGGGCGGGAUGACGGCCUUCGGGUUGUAAACCGCUUUCGCCUGUGACGAAGCGUGAGUGACGGUAAUGGGUAAAGAAGCACCGGCUAACUACGUG
Molecule: ribosomal RNA, 468 nt
Filed under: uncultured bacterium
Lineage: Bacteria
Description: partial 16S ribosomal RNA
Rfam family: Bacterial small subunit ribosomal RNA
Source: RNAcentral